ACUUUCCACAGCAUCAGCUAUCCUCCUCUGGGUGGAGCCCUUCUUGCCCCUCCCCGUUCCUCAGCUGCAGGCAAUUAUUCUGGCAGUAUUUAGGAGCAGCGCACACAAUGAGUCUUCGCCAGAUCGUCUGCUAACCUCAUCGGUACCUGGACUCAUCAUCCAAACCCUGCCAUAGCCACGCUUCUGGAUUCCGGUCAGCUGCUGCUUGAUCCUUUUCAGGCAAAGGGCCAUUCACACCUGCCUGCCUCCCUGCACACCCGUAAAGGACUCAGUACUCGCCCGGACCUCGCCUCACCUCCAGCUUAUCCCCACUGACCCUGGUCUGCCACAGCUUCCACCUGCCCCACUCCAGCCCUCAGCAGUUUAGUGAUCUGACAGUUCCAUGCUUAGCCUAAGCCCAGCACUCACAGACAUCACGCUUUUGCACAAAGUUAAAUCUUGUUAUUGUCUUGACAAUCUCAGUUAGGAAUUCUGGCAAAUAAAAGUUUUUGUUUUUUGCAAAUCACUUCAAGCCUCCGGUCUUUUGGUUCUGCGCAUGAGUCCUUUCCACUUCACGGGCCUCUGAGCCAUGACAGGUUAGCACACAAGUCCAGUAAAACAGAAACCACCAUUCUGUCACU
Long non-coding RNA from Oreochromis aureus, 620 nucleotides. RefSeq lists it as uncharacterized. Lineage: Eukaryota; Metazoa; Chordata; Actinopteri; Cichliformes; Cichlidae. The record is from RefSeq and is a predicted model, not a curated record. The transcript is spliced from 3 exons.